This 277-nucleotide unclassified non-coding RNA is filed under the name Hevea brasiliensis (rubber tree). The record is from RNAcentral. Lineage: Eukaryota; Viridiplantae; Streptophyta; Magnoliopsida; Malpighiales; Euphorbiaceae.
UCGAAGCUUAUACCAGCAAGCGUCUGAAGAACCCGCUGUCCGAUGCAUUGGCACGCGAAGCUCUCAGGCUUCUCGGUGGCAACAUCCACGAGGUCUGCCGUAACGGAACCAAUCGUGAGGCGCGUCACAAUAUGCNCCAUGCUCGCUGGAAUGGCGUUUGCAAAUGCGCCGGUCGCAGCCGUGCAUGCGCUGGCCUAUCCGGUCGGUGCGCGAUUCCAUGUUCCUCACGGGCUGUCGAAUUCUCUUGUGCUUCCGCAGGUCAUUCAGUUCAACGCAG